UCCUCCGUGGCGCAAUUGGCUAGCGCGUCUGACUGUUAUCUCUUCUCGAGAAAUGCGAUCAGGAGGUUCCUGGUUCAAGCCCAGGCGGGGGAG
Trichodelitschia bisporula is the source of this 93-nucleotide non-coding RNA. The record is from the annotation of a GenBank genome assembly. Lineage: Eukaryota; Fungi; Ascomycota; Dothideomycetes; Phaeotrichales; Phaeotrichaceae.